GCUGUCCCUGUUUAUGCACAAAAUUUUUUUCAAUUUAGUGCAUGUAUCAAAUACAAAUAUGAACACUGUUUGGAAAAGCAAACAAGAGAGGAAAAAUUGCGGAGGUAAAGAAAAAGGAAAAAAGUUUUAGAAGGCAAAGUCAUGUUUCUCCCUUUUGUCUGGAUGGGAGGAAACUAGAAGGGGGGAAAAAUGUAGUUAUCUCUUGUUAAAUUUAAGGAACUAGCGGGAAAGAAAAUCAAAAUUCUCCUUUUUUAGCACUAACAUUAUUCCACUCAUGAAGUUAACAUUGCAAGAACAAUUAAGGAAUUUACAUCAAAAGAAGCCCUUUCCUCUCUCAUAAACUCCAAA
This 348-nucleotide unclassified non-coding RNA is filed under the name Hevea brasiliensis (rubber tree). The record is from RNAcentral. Lineage: Eukaryota; Viridiplantae; Streptophyta; Magnoliopsida; Malpighiales; Euphorbiaceae.